UUCUGGCUCAGGACGAACGCUGGCGGCGUGCUUAACACAUGCAAGUCGAGCGGUAAGGCCUUUCGGGGUACACGAGCGGCGAACGGGUGAGUAACACGUGGGUGAUCUGCCCUGCACUUCGGGAUAAGCCUGGGAAACUGGGUCUAAUACCGGAUAUGACCUCCUAUCGCAUGGUGGGUGGUGGAAAGAUUUAUCGGUGCAGGAUGGGCCCGCGGCCUAUCAGCUUGUUGGUGGGGUAAUGGCCUACCAAGGCGACGACGGGUAGCCGACCUGAGAGGGUGACCGGCCACACUGGGACUGAGACACGGCCCAGACUCCUACGGGAGGCAGCAGUGGGGAAUAUUGCACAAUGGGCGAAAGCCUGAUGCAGCGACGCCGCGUGAGGGAUGACGGCCUUCGGGUUGUAAACCUCUUUCAGCAGGGACGAAGCGCAAGUGACGGUACCUGCAGAAGAAGCACCGGCUAACUACGUGCCAGCAGCCGCGGUAAUACGUAGGGUGCAAGCGUUGUCCGGAAUUACUGGGCGUAAAGAGUUCGUAGGCGGUUUGUCGCGUCGUUUGUGAAAACCAGCAGCUCAACUGCUGGCUUGCAGGCGAUACGGGCAGACUUGAGUACUGCAGGGGAGACUGGAAUUCCUGGUGUAGCGGUGAAAUGCGCAGAUAUCAGGAGGAACACCGGUGGCGAAGGCGGGUCUCUGGGCAGUAACUGACGCUGAGGAACGAAAGCGUGGGUAGCGAACAGGAUUAGAUACCCUGGUAGUCCACGCCGUAAACGGUGGGCGCUAGGUGUGGGUUCCUUCCACGGAAUCCGUGCCGUAGCUAACGCAUUAAGCGGCCCCCGCCG
This 843-nucleotide ribosomal RNA is filed under the name Rhodococcus sp. (in: high G+C Gram-positive bacteria). RNAcentral describes it as "bacterial SSU rRNA". It matches the Rfam family "Bacterial small subunit ribosomal RNA", at positions 17 to 873 of the family's 1533-position model. Lineage: Bacteria; Bacillati; Actinomycetota; Actinomycetes; Mycobacteriales; Nocardiaceae. The record is from RNAcentral.